Molecule: ribosomal RNA, 335 nt
Filed under: uncultured soil bacterium
Lineage: Bacteria
Description: bacterial SSU rRNA
Rfam family: Bacterial small subunit ribosomal RNA
Source: RNAcentral
AGAACGAACGCUGGCGGCAUGCCUAAUACAUGCAAGUCGAACGAACUCUUCGGAGUUAGUGGCGCACGGGUGCGUAACGCGUGGGAAUCUGCCCCUUGGUUCGGAAUAACAGUUGGAAACGACUGCUAAUACCGGAUGAUGACGAAGGUCCAAAGAUUUAUCGCCAAGGGAUGAGCCCGCGUAGGAUUAGCUAGUUGGUGAGGUAAAGGCUCACCAAGGCAACGAUCCUUAGCUGGUCUGAGAGGAUGAUCAGCCACACUGGGACUGAGACACGGCCCAGACUCCUACGGGAGGCAGCGAGGUAGGGAAUAGUUAGGACAAGUGGGACGAAAGCC